AGAGUUUGAUCAUGGCUCAGGAUGAACGCUGGCGGCGUGCCUAAUACAUGCAAGUCGGACGGGCCUAUUCGGCGAAGCGGGGCUUCGGCUUCGUGGAGUUGAGUAGGUCAGUGGCGAAUGGGUGAGUAACACGUGGGUGACCUGCCCUCAAGUGGGGAACAACCAGUGGAAACGCUGGCUAAUUCCGCAUGUGAUUUAUCAUUCGGUUGAUAAAUUAAAGACGAAAGUCGCUUGAGGAGGGGCCCGCGGUCGAUUAGCUUGUUGGUGAGGUAAUGGCCCACCAAGGCUUUGAUCGGUAGCUGGUCUGAGAGGAUGAUCAGCCACACUGGCACUGACAUACGGGCCAGACUCCUACGGGAGGCAGCAGUAAGGAAUAUUGCGCAAUGGGCGAAAGCCUGACGCAGCAACGCCGCGUGGGUGAUGAAGGUUUUCGGAUCGUAAAACCCUUUUCUGGAAGACGAGUAAGGACGGUACUCCAGGAAUAAGAUUCGGCUAACUACGUGCCAGCAGCCGCGGUAAAACGUAGGAAUCGAGCGUUAUCCGGAUUUACUGGGCGUAAAGCGCGUGUAGGCGGAACUUUAAGUCGGACGUGAAAGCUCCUAGCUUAACUGGGAGAGGUCGUUCGAUACUGAGGUUCUAGAGAGCAGAAGAGGAGAGUGGAAUUCCCGGUGUAGUGGUGGAAUGCGCAGAUAUCGGGAGGAACAUCAGUGGCGAAGGCGACUCUCUGGUCUGUUUCUGACGCUGAGACGCGAAAGCGUGGGGAGCGAACGGGAUUAGAUACCCCGGUAGUCCACGCCCUAAACAUUGCGGACUAGGCGUGGGUGGUAUUGACCCCAUCCGUGCCGAAGCUAACGCGUUAAGUCCGCCGCCUGGGGACUACUGCCGCAAGGCUAAAACUCAAAUGAAUUGACGG
RNAcentral lists this ribosomal RNA (913 nucleotides) under uncultured bacterium. RNAcentral describes it as "bacterial SSU rRNA". It matches the Rfam family "Bacterial small subunit ribosomal RNA", at positions 8 to 916 of the family's 1533-position model. The record is from RNAcentral.